AGAUUGAACGCUGGCGGCAUGCCUUACACAUGCAAGUCGAACGGCAGCACGGGAGCAAUCCUGGUGGCGAGUGGCGAACGGGUGAGUAAUACAUCGGAACGUGCCCAAUCGUGGGGGAUAACGCAGCGAAAGCUGUGCUAAUACCGCAUAAGAUCUACGGAUGAAAGCAGGGGAUCGCAAGACCUUGCGCGAAUGGAGCGGCCGAUGGCAGAUUAGGUAGUUGGUGAGGUAAAGGCUCACAAGCCUUCGAUCUGUAGCUGGUCUGAGAGGACGACCAGCCACACUGGGACUGAGAC
RNAcentral lists this ribosomal RNA (296 nucleotides) under uncultured soil bacterium. RNAcentral describes it as "partial 16S ribosomal RNA". It matches the Rfam family "Bacterial small subunit ribosomal RNA", at positions 26 to 325 of the family's 1533-position model. The record is from RNAcentral.